ACCAUCGUUCCUCUCUCACCUACCAUCGUUCCUCUCUCACCUACCAUCGUUCCUCUCUCACCUACCAUCGUUCCUCUCUCACCUACUUGGUUUUUGGAGAGUCAAAUUGAACAAGGCUUUGGAGAGACCGCACACCCAGAGAUACAGGCCACUCUAGUUGUUCCUGAAGACUUUUUAAACAACUUCUCAGUGAAUGCUGAAAAAUCUGACUACGUUGAAGAUGCUGAGCAAUUGGAACAGUACUUCAUGACAUCUUUCAGCAACCUACCGUCAGACUCAGAAGUGUCAAAAA
Long non-coding RNA from Acipenser ruthenus (sterlet), 292 nucleotides. RefSeq lists it as uncharacterized. NCBI's taxonomy places the organism in Eukaryota, Metazoa, Chordata, Actinopteri, Acipenseriformes, Acipenseridae. The transcript is spliced from 3 exons. The record is from RefSeq and is a predicted model, not a curated record.